CCCACUUUGGUUCAGUGGCUGAACCGACCGCGUCCUAAAAAAAAUUACGGAAGCGGGAGGUCGAGGGUUCAAAACCCCCUGGUGGCA
Molecule: non-coding RNA, 87 nt
Organism: Mycena capillaripes
Lineage: Eukaryota; Fungi; Basidiomycota; Agaricomycetes; Agaricales; Mycenaceae
Source: the annotation of a GenBank genome assembly